RNAcentral lists this ribosomal RNA (426 nucleotides) under uncultured bacterium. RNAcentral's name for it is "bacterial SSU rRNA". It matches the Rfam family "Bacterial small subunit ribosomal RNA", at positions 354 to 796 of the family's 1533-position model. The record is from RNAcentral.
GUAGGGAAUCUUGCGCAAUGGGCGAAAGCCUGACGCAGCAACGCCGCGUGAGGGAUGGAGGCCUUCGGGUUGUAAACCUCUUUCAGCAGGGACGAUUGUGACGGUACCUGCAGAAGAAGCCCCGGCCAACUACGUGCCAGCAGCCGCGGUAAUACGUAGGGGGCGAGCGUUGUCCGGAAUCAUUGGGCGUAAAGAGCUCGUAGGCGGUUUGGUAAGUCGGGUGUGAAACCUCCAGGCUCAACCUGGAGAUGCCACUCGAUACUGCCAUGACUAGAGUCCGGUAGGGGUCCACGGAAUUCCUGGUGUAGCGGUGAAAUGCGCAGAUAUCAGGAGGAACACCGGUGGCGAAGGCGGUGGGCUGGGCCGGAACUGACGCUGAGGAGCGAAAGCGUGGGGAGCGAACAGGAUUAGAUACCCUUGUAGUCC